GAUGAACGCUGGCGGCGUGCCUAAUACAUGCAAGUCGAACGCUUUGUGGUUCAACUGAUUUGAAGAGCUUGCUCAGACAUGACGAUGGACAUUGCAAAGAGUGGCGAACGGGUGAGUAACACGUGGGAAACCUACCUCUUAGCAGGGGAUAACAUUUGGAAACAGAUGCUAAUACCGUAUAACAAUGACAACCGCAUGGUUGUUAUUUAAAAGAUGGUUCUGCUAUCACUAAGAGAUGGUCCCGCGGUGCAUUAGCUAGUUGGUAAGGUAAUGGCUUACCAAGGCGAUGAUGCAUAGCCGAGUUGAGAGACUGAUCGGCCACAAUGGGACUGAGACACGGCCCAUACUCCUACGGGAGGCAGCAGUAGGGAAUCUUCCACAAUGGGCGAAAGCCUGAUGGAGCAACGCCGCGUGUGUGAUGAAGGGUUUCGGCUCGUAAAACACUGUUGUAAGAGAAGAAUGACAUUGAGAGUAACUGUUCAAUGUGUGACGGUAUCUUACCAGAAAGGAACGGCUAAAUACGUGCCAGCAGCCGCGGUAAUACGUAUGUUCCAAGCGUUAUCCGGAUUUAUUGGGCGUAAAGCGAGCGCAGACGGUUAUUUAAGUCUGAAGUGAAAGCCCUCAGCUCAACUGAGGAAUUGCUUUGGAAACUGGAUGACUUGAGUGCAGUAGAGGAAAGUGGAACUCCAUGUGUAGCGGUGAAAUGCGUAGAUAUAUGGAAGAACACCAGUGGCGAAGGCGGCUUUCUGGACUGUAACUGACGUUGAGGCUCGAAAGUGUGGGUAGCAAACAGGAUUAGAUACCCUGGUAGUCCACACCGUAAACGAUGAGUGCUAGGUGUUUGAGGGUUUCCGCCCUUAAGUGCCGCAGCUAACGCAUUAAGCACUCCGCCUGGGGAGUACGACCGCAAGGUUGAAACUCAAAGGAAUUGACGGGGACCCGCACAAGCGGUGGAGCAUGUGGUCUAAUUCGAAGCAACGCGAAGAACCUUACCAGGUCUUGACAUCCCUUGACAACUCCAGAGAUGGAGCGUUCCCUUCGGGGACAAGGUGACAGGUGGUGCAUGGUUGUCGUCAGCUCGUGUCGUGAGAUGUUGGGUUAAGUCCCGCAACGAGCGCAACCCUUAUUACUAGUUGCCAGCAUUCAGUUGGGCACUCUAGUGAGACUGCCGGUGACAAACCGGAGGAAGGUGGGGAUGACGUCAAAUCAUCAUGCCCCUUAUGACCUGGGCUACACACGUGCUACAAUGGCGUAUACAACGAGUUGCCAACCCGCGAGGGUGAGCUAAUCUCUUAAAGUACGUCUCAGUUCGGAUUGUAGGCUGCAACUCGCCUACAUGAAGUCGGAAUCGCUAGUAAUCGCGGAUCAGCACGCCGCGGUGAAUACGUUCCCGGGUCUUGUACACACCGCCCGUCACACCAUGAGAGUUUGUAACACCCAAAGCCGGUGGGGUAACCUUCGGGAGCCAGCCGUCUAAGGUGGGACAGAUGAUUAGGGUG
This 1499-nucleotide ribosomal RNA is filed under the name Weissella confusa. Its description in RNAcentral is "bacterial SSU rRNA". It matches the Rfam family "Bacterial small subunit ribosomal RNA". The record is from RNAcentral. Lineage: Bacteria; Bacillati; Bacillota; Bacilli; Lactobacillales; Lactobacillaceae.